UAGGGAAUCUUCGGCAAUGGGGGGAACCCUGACCGAGCAACGCCGCGUGAGUGAAGAAGGUUUUCGGAUCGUAAAGCUCUGUUGUUAAGGAAGAACGAGUGUGAGAAUGGAAAGUUCAUGCUGUGACGGUACUUAACCAGAAAGGGACGGCUAACUACGUGCCAGCAGCCGCGGUAAUACGUAGGUCCGUAGCGUUGUCCGGAUUAAUUGGGCGUAAAGCGAGCGCAGGCGGUUAGAAAAGUCUGAAGUGAAAGGCGGUGGCUCAACCAUUGUAGGCUUUGGAAACUGUUUAACUUGAGUGCAGAAGGGGAGAGUGGAAUUCCAUGUGUAGCGGUGAAAUGCGUAGAUAUAUGGAGGAACACCGGUGGCGAAAGCGGCUCUCUGGUCUGUAACUGACGCUGAGGCUCGAAAGCGUGGGGAGCGAACAGG
Molecule: ribosomal RNA, 429 nt
Filed under: Bacteroidota bacterium
Lineage: Bacteria; Pseudomonadati; Bacteroidota
Description: Bacteroidetes bacterium partial 16S ribosomal RNA
Rfam family: Bacterial small subunit ribosomal RNA
Source: RNAcentral